RNAcentral lists this ribosomal RNA (1019 nucleotides) under uncultured bacterium. RNAcentral describes it as "bacterial SSU rRNA". It matches the Rfam family "Bacterial small subunit ribosomal RNA", at positions 355 to 1375 of the family's 1533-position model. The record is from RNAcentral.
UGAGGAAUAUUGGUCAAUGGGCGAUGGCCUGAACCAGCCAAGUAGCGUGAAGGAUGACUGCCCUAUGGGUUGUAAACUUCUUUUAUAAAGGAAUAAAGUCGGGUAUGCAUACCCGUUUGCAUGUACUUUAUGAAUAAGGAUCGGCUAACUCCGUGCCAGCAGCCGCGGUAAUACGGAGGAUCCGAGCGUUAUCCGGAUUUAUUGGGUUUAAAGGGAGCGUAGAUGGAUGUUUAAGUCAGUUGUGAAAGUUUGCGGCUCAACCGUAAAAUCGCAGUUGAUACUGGAUGUCUUGAGUGCAGUUGAGGCAGGCGGAAUUCGUGGUGUAGCGGUGAAAUGCUUAGAUAUCACGAAGAACUCCGAUUGCGAAGGCAGCCUGCUAAGCUGCAACUGACAUUGAGGCUCGAAAGUGUGGGUAUCAAACAGGAUUAGAUACCCUGGUAGUCCACACGGUAAACGAUGAAUACUCGCUGUUUGCGAUAUACGGCAAGCGGCCAAGCGAAAGCGUUAAGUAUUCCACCUGGGGAGUACGCCGGCAACGGUGAAACUCAAAGGAAUUGACGGGGGCCCGCACAAGCGGAGGAACAUGUGGUUUAAUUCGAUGAUACGCGAGGAACCUUACCCGGGCUUAAAUUGCACUCGAAUGAUCCGGAAACGGUUCAGCUAGCAAUAGCGAGUGUGAAGGUGCUGCAUGGUUGUCGUCAGCUCGUGCCGUGAGGUGUCGGCUUAAGUGCCAUAACGAGCGCAACCCUUGUUGUCAGUUACUAACAGGUGAUGCUGAGGACUCUGACAAGACUGCCAUCGUAAGAUGUGAGGAAGGUGGGGAUGACGUCAAAUCAGCACGGCCCUUACGUCCGGGGCUACACACGUGUUACAAUGGGGGGUACAGAGGGCCGCUACCACGCGAGUGGAUGCCAAUCCCUAAAACCCCUCUCAGUUCGGACUGGAGUCUGCAACCCGACUCCACGAAGCUGGAUUCGCUAGUAAUCGCGCAUCAGCCACGGCGCGGUGAAUACGUUCCC